GGGCUAUUAGCUCAGCUGAUAGAGCGCACCCUGACAAGGGUGAGGUCGCUGGUUCAAAUCCAGCAUAGCCCA
Transfer RNA from Coccomyxa subellipsoidea C-169, 72 nucleotides. It matches the Rfam family "tRNA". Rfam says of the family: Transfer RNA (tRNA) molecules are approximately 80 nucleotides in length. Their secondary structure includes four short double-helical elements and three loops (D, anti-codon, and T loops). The record is from Rfam. Lineage: Eukaryota; Viridiplantae; Chlorophyta; Trebouxiophyceae; Coccomyxaceae.